This 253-nucleotide ribosomal RNA is filed under the name uncultured bacterium. RNAcentral's name for it is "partial 16S ribosomal RNA". It matches the Rfam family "Bacterial small subunit ribosomal RNA", at positions 524 to 776 of the family's 1533-position model. The record is from RNAcentral.
UACGGAGGGUGCAAGCGUUGUCCGGAAUUACUGGGCGUAAAGCGCACGUAGGCGGAUCUGUAAGUCAGGGGUGAAAUCCCGGGGCUCAACCUCGGAACUGCCUUUGAUACUGCAAAUCUCGAGUCCGGAAGAGGUGAGUGGAAUUCCUAGUGUAGAGGUGAAAUUCGUAGAUAUUAGGAAGAACACCAGUGGCGAAGGCGGCUCACUGGUCCGGUACUGACGCUGAGGUGCGAAAGCGUGGGGAGCAAACAGG